CGCGUCUCUGCACAUCUCCGUCUACCUCUUUCUUUCGAAGAGCCGAACCUUUGCCGCUCUCUCUAGCCCUCUCUCGCUCUCUCUUCCACAUACGGCCAGAGCCCUUGUUUCCAUCCCCCUCCCCCUUCUGUCUCUGUCUGCGUGUGUGUGUGUGCGCGCGAGCGCAGGUCGGCCGACCAUUCCUUUGCUUCGUUGUUGUUUGGGUUCUCUGCGCGUCCCUUUCAUUUUCCUGUGCGUUUUUUUUCACUCGUGCCCGCUCAGGCUCGCCGGAUCGCUCUCCCACCCCGUGUUUCACAGACUCUCUCUCUCUCUCUGUUUCGUCCGCUCGUCAGUGGUCUUGCUGCCCGUUUUUCACGCAUUGCCAGCUCUCCCCUCCCCCACUCGCACUCCGAGUGCGCACACUUGUGUGUGUGCCUCUCUGCUUGCCACACAGGGCUACAAACGUAUACACAGCAGGGAACAGCAGCGCAACAAGCGAACGAUAUUCCCCCACGUAGAGCAAGGCCAGCACCCUAAAGGCCACUGAAAGAAGGCGAGGGAAUCAAGGGCAGGUAGACACACACGCGUGUGCACAUCAACAGAAGCUUAUCUCCCCCUUGUUUUCUGGUCAUUAUCGACGUGCACAAGUGUAGAACUCCUCCUAUGUGCCCCAGCCUGAGCGUGGCGGCAAGGUUUCGUGCAUUCUCUGUUACUUCAUCUCUCUGCUUCUGUGAGUGUGCGUGCGCGUCGGAAGAGUAUCUGCAUCUCCUGCACUCUCUCGGAACAGAAAGCCCUUUCCUUUCACCGCGUUGAACUCUCUGCUCGUUCCAGCUAGAGAGAGCGCAUCAUCUGUAUACCGUUGCCUUCUCCCUCCCUCCUCCCCCUCCAGACUCGCGUCUAAGCGCGUGCACCCGGAGAGUCGAACUCGACCACUACCACCGUUUGACCAUCGAAAAGGGAGGAUAUGAACUUCACACAGCAGCUGUGGUCUGUGAAGGAGUGGGGCCGCGUGAUGGCCACGAGGAGCGAGUACGUCACGAUUGUGCACGAGGCGACCAACGAUGAAAAAUGGGGGCCGACAGGGCCGCAGAUGGAUGCCGUAUGCAACGCCUACCCCCGCGGCGGCCCCGAAAUCUUGAACGAGCUGCGCAGCCGCCUCAACAACCGCGACAAGUCGUGGCGCCCGUGCUACAAGUCGCUGCUCGUCAUCGACCAUCUCGCCCGCAACGUCGACGACCGUUACCUGCCGGAGAUCUGCGCCUUGGUGCCCCUCAUCCGCACCAUCUCCACCAGCUUCUACUACACUAACCCCAAGGGUGUCGAUCACGGGGUGUCAGUGCGGGAGCGGGCGAAGAAGGUCGCGGACCUUCUCAGUGAUGGCCUGCAGCUGCGCGAGGAGCGCAUGGUAGCCGCGCAGAUCAAGGAGAAACUCUCCCACAACGCUAGCGAUGGCGGCGGCCCGAACAGCGGCUCCCCCUACAGCGGAGCUGGCGGCUAUGGCGGCUUUUACAGCGGUGGAUAUGGCGGCAGCCGCGAUCGUGACCGGCACCGAAGCUAUGGCAAGGGCUCCCGCCAGGCCUAUGACUCCUACCGGUCCUCGCCGCCCCCUGCGACGGUUCUGUCGCGCCCGCGCACCAAGGAGGAGCAGGAAAGGUGCGACAUGGAGAUGGCGCUGCGCUUGCAGCGUGACGAGGAGCGCCGCAGCGGCGUUUCGGCCGAGCAGCUGGAGGAGAUGUACGCAACCAAGGUCCGCCAGCGCCAGAACGAGGCUGAGCGCCAGAAAGUGACCGCGGAGGACGACGAGAGGCUCGCCAUGCGACUCCAGCAGGAGGAGGAGGAACGGGCGCGGCGCGAGGGCGUAUCGCUGCCGACGCUGAACUCGGACAAGCCAUCCAGCACGCCAGUAAAGGCCCCCUUGCCCAACCCGCCCGCGACGAAUGCGCUGGAAGAACUCUUCGCCCCUCCCCUGUUCUCCCAGCCCGCUGUCGCCGCCCCUGCUUCGUCGGCGGACCCCUUCGAUUCCUUCCUCGACUCCCGCUCCGGACUUGCACCACAACAGAACUCGUGGGGGCAGCCCCAACAACAGCCGUCCAGCGUUCAGAACCAAUGGGGGCAGCCACAGACAGCCAACGACGCUUGGGGUGCACCACAGCAAUGGCCGCAACAGUCCGUGCCGCCGCUGCAACAGCCCGUGCCGCCGCUGCAACAGCCCGUGCCGCCGCUGCAACAGCCCGUGCCGCCGCUGCAACAGCCCGUGCCGCCGCUGCAACAGCAGCAGUUCCACCCUUGGGGACAAUCUGCCACCGUCUCAACAAGCAACUCUUGGGGCCAGCCCCAGCAAGGACCUUCGCAGCAGCAGCGCGUGGACAACAACGGCAGCGCUGGCUCGUGGGGUCAAGCUCCUCCGCCUCAGCUGCGGGACCCGUGGGGCCAGCCGCAACAGCAACAGCAACCGCAGCCGCAGCAGCCACCGCAGUCGUCGAAUUCUUGGGGUAAGUUUUAUCAGCAGCCUCAGCCUGGCCAUUGGGGCCAGACAUCUGCACCACCUGCGCAGCUGUCCGAUACAUGGGGCCAGCCACCGGCAAGUAACACAGCGAGGGCUCUCGACUCCUCGAACAGCGGGGGUAACUUGGGCAACAUGUGGGGUGCUUUGGACCAGUUCUCCAACCAGCAGCAACAUAAGUGAGAGAGCACAGCAUCGCUAGUGUGCUCCCUCUUUCUGCCCCCUCCCCCUCCUCCCUAUCACUUCCACUUUCACUAUUUCAGAGACACCCCCACCCACCCAACAGCCCAUAUAUAUAUAUAUAUAUAUGUACGUGUCGCUGAUGAUGAGUUCUUGAUGCAUGUUGUUGCCGACUAACGCUGCUCUGUCGGUCGUUUUCUGCGUGUGUACGUUUUGGAUGCAAGGGACUCCCUCCCCUUCCAUCGAGCCGCUUCGGUGCUUACCAUGGACCCCAUAUGGGAUACGGUGUGAUGUGCUAUGCACGCAUGCCUCUAAGGCGUCAUGAAGGCCGAGAAAAAAAAGGAGAAAAGGCGCGCAGAAGGCGCGAGGGGGAGGGGUGGAUGGGGUGGUUGGGAAGGAGCAGGGUCAGGAACGAUAGCGCACCAAGUGGAAGGCUCGCAAAGAGGGACGAAGUUCGCGUGCUGUGCGCGCAGAUUGAGGCCACCCACCUAUUCGUCGUCAUAAUCUACAAUAGUGAUCGUAAUCUACGCUGACGUCUGAGCGUUUUUUUUUACCUUUGUAUGGCUAUCUUUCCUAGUGUUCUGUAGCCGUUUUGCGUGUCUGCUGCGCUUGUAUAUGCAUGUAUAUAUAUAUAUAUGUGCGCGCAUCUGCCGGCGUUUCUCACUUUCUCACAUGCACACACGCACGCACUCACCACACACAAACACACAUAUACGACCUCCAACUCUUUUUUCUUUUUUUUUCCGGCUUUCCUUUGUGUCUCGGUGUGCCUGUGCCCUGUGUGUGUGCGUGCUCCUGUAUGCGUGUGCGUCGAUGUGGCUGAAGCGCCUCUGAUGCUCGGUGCUCUUUUUUUUCUUAUUGGUUCCUUUGCUCCCGCUUCUCUCUUUUUGUGUCGUGCGGGAGUGCCUUAUCUGGUGAAUGUGACAGUGUACGCCGUCGUUGCACGACGACUGCGUUUGUUGCUUGCUGCUGCGGAAGGGCGCUGCAGGGGUGGGGCUCGUUGCUGUCGGGUGUCGUCGCUCGUCUUCGUUCUCCGCCCUCUUUGUUCGUUUUUUUUUUCAGCUCGUUUUGUUUCGCUUGUGCGGUUUUGCCUUUUGAGGACGCCUGUGCGGCGGUUGUGCAUGCGAACGAGUCUGUCUGCUGCGUAUCUGGGUGCGUAUGGCACUCUUUGCCUUCGCUGAGGCGCCCGUUUUUCUGUACGUCUGUGCUUCAAUCCUGUCAAGCUGACGGCACACCCUUUCUUGCGCCGCAUUGCCUACACACGGAAGCUAAGAGAGCGCAGGGGGCCAUACAGACACGUCUUUUCCCCUUCUUUCUGGCUUUCACAGUAUGCGACUUCCUGCCUCGGCCGCACAUCGAGGCGUACGGGUGCUUGUGCGUGUGCCUUGAUGACGAUACACAUACCAACAUACACAUACACGCACCAAGUGUCCGGUCCGGCUACCCGCGACACUCACGGAUGUGUGCACGUAAACAACUUCCCUCUUUUGCGAGAUGGGAAGCGGACGAAUCGCACUGACAUCUCGCCGUCGUGUGCCGCGCUCAAGCACGAUCGCCAGAGAGCACGCUUGUUUGAACCGAUGGCCUUCUCUGCUGCUCUUCGUUUUACUUUGCGUCCCCACCCCCGCCCCCUGACGACGAGGAGGGGGCACACCUGAGAGAGUGGUAUCCGAGGGCCCGGUACACCCACUCUGUAGGGGAGCCAAGCAGCCAUCCUAUUUCUUCCAACACCUGACCCCUUCUGGUACUGACAGGGUCAAGCACCUACGACGUGGAGAAGUCAGAGCGAUGUAUCGCGACUCAUGUCGGUGGUCGGGUCCUGGAUGGGGCUGCGUCGGAGAGAGCUGCGAUAAGAAACACGCUUGCGCCACUCACAUGAUGGUCAGAGUGCCCACGUAGCUCGAGCGCAGCCCACCCGGUCCUCGCUGCCUGCCGGUGGUGGUGGGGGAGCCUCAGCCACCUCGAGGGAGAUGCACCAGGCGGCAACCGGCCUCACUGGGGGCGGCUGUGAGGCCGCCCUGCCCAGCGGGCGGGUGGGUAGGGUGUGGGGCAGAGGCCGUGCUCAAAUGAGAGGAACGGCAGUGCUGUGAUGCGUGCCUUCGGCGGCUUCGAACCGCGCGGAUGGGGCCUGUGAUCGGUCGGGGUAGUGUGGAGUUGAGCACAUGUUGUAUGACAGAGAAAUGAACACGCUACAGAGCAGAAAAAAGACCGCACCCUCUGCUGCCUGUGCUUCUGAUUGCCGUCUUCCCCUCCCCCGCUGGACUCUGCUCGUCUUGCAUCGUGUAGAUGGCCGUUCUCUCUCGUCCUCCACCCCAUUCUUCCUCGCCUCUUUUUGUUUUUCUCGUUGCAUGUCCGCCGAUGCGCUCGCUGUCUUCUAUUAUUAUUGAUGCAUGUCGUGUUGGGUCUACAUCACCGCUGCGUUGCUGCGUCGUUUCCUGAGCAAGAGAGAAACAAAGGUGCAAUCACACAUCUGUGCAGAGUGGCUUGCAUGAACCUGCCCUACCAUCUCUCUUACUCAACCGUAGACACUGUGUGCACUCUUAUCUUGGUAGACGUCUGUGCGCAUCUGCGUGAGGGUAGCAAGGCCUUGGCAGACUAGCGGAUUUUAGCCCGCUUUUCUGACAUGAAAGGCACCCCCUCUCCGGCAUUGGAGUCCUUUUCCGGGGGAGAGGAGGUGUAAGCUCGCCGGGCGCUGUUUAGCUGUAAGCAGUCGAAGGGAGUCGAAGUAGAGUGACGAAAGACGUUUGCAGCACCGCUGGAGAGGUCUUGCUGCAGCCUUCCCUCCCUCCCUCCCUCAGCUCUCUGACCAGCAGCCGAGUACCGCUGUCGUUUUGCCCUUGUUAGCUCCUCACCUUCAUCUGCCCCCUUUUCGGUUCGUUUCUCUUUCAG
RNAcentral lists this unclassified non-coding RNA (5551 nucleotides) under Leishmania donovani. Its description in RNAcentral is "gene:LdHU3.25.0800(CDS-product:epsin_putative)". Lineage: Eukaryota; Euglenozoa; Kinetoplastea; Trypanosomatida; Trypanosomatidae. The record is from RNAcentral.